RNAcentral lists this ribosomal RNA (531 nucleotides) under uncultured bacterium. RNAcentral's name for it is "bacterial SSU rRNA". It matches the Rfam family "Bacterial small subunit ribosomal RNA", at positions 100 to 627 of the family's 1533-position model. The record is from RNAcentral.
GCACGGGUGAGUAACGCGUAUCCAACCUUCCCGCAACUGGGGAAUAACCUUGCGAAAGUAAGACUAAUACCCCAUGGUCUCCACGGAUGGCAUCUGAAGUGGAGUAAAGGUUUCGGCCGGUUGCGGAUGGGGAUGCGUCCGAUUAGCUUGACGGCGGGGUAACGGCCCACCGUGGCAUCGAUCGGUAGGGGUUCUGAGAGGAAGGUCCCCCACAUUGGAACUGAGACACGGUCCAAACUCCUACGGGAGGCAGCAGUGAGGAAUAUUGGUCAAUGGGCGGAAGCCUGAACCAGCCAAGUAGCGUGAAGGACGACUGCCCUAUGGGUUGUAAACUUCUUUUAUGCGGGGAUAAAGUUCGCCACGUGUGGCGUUUUGCAGGUACCGCAUGAAUAAGGACCGGCUAAUUCCGUGCCAGCAGCCGCGGUAAUACGGAAGGUCCAGGCGUUAUCCGGAUUCAUUGGGUUUAAAGGGAGCGUAGGCCGCCUUUUAAGCGUGUUGUGAAAUGUAGGGGCUCAACCCCUGCACUGCAGC